This is a long non-coding RNA of Lathyrus oleraceus (garden pea), 1542 nucleotides long. RefSeq lists it as uncharacterized. The record is from RefSeq and is a predicted model, not a curated record. The transcript is spliced from 3 exons. NCBI's taxonomy places the organism in Eukaryota, Viridiplantae, Streptophyta, Magnoliopsida, Fabales, Fabaceae.
CUCAAGGGCGAAACAAGCAGACGCGGAUUCAGUUAUUCAAAAACAAAUCACGUGAUCCCUAUCCAUUCGCUCGAGCUUCGAUUCUGUCAGUGCCACCGGAGCUCCUCCACACACACCGCCAUGGAUGACACCAGGAUGAUCCAUAUCCUUGUCGCAAUCGUCGCUUGAACGAAGAGCUUUUCAUGAAACUCUCAACGCCAGAGUCUUCAUCUUUUUGUCUCACCGGAUCGCACCAAACGCUUGCUCAAAAAACAACUUCGACUCACCAAGAUCCAUUCACUACUCACGUAUGAAACAAAAAGUAACGACAUAGCAUCGUGAUAAUACAGUUUGUAAAGAACUUACCGUAUUCGAGCCUGGAAGAUUCCACUCUUCUUGUUAAGAGUCCCACAUCGAACAAUAUAUGGCAUGAACAUGUGUUUAUAAGUGGGGGCAAUCAUCACUCUACCAACCGGUUUUGUAGGGUUGAGUUAGGCCCAACCACAAUUCUUAACAUGGUAUCAGAGUCUUGUUUAAGAUUCGGUGGGCCACCUACUAUGGUUUCUGCUAUCGGGCCAUCCACCAUUUAUGCUCCAUAUGUCCAGUCCUGGGCGUGAGGGGGUGUGUUAAGAGUCCCACAUCGGACAAUAUAUGGCAUGAACAUGUGUUUAUAAGUGGGGGCAGUCCUCACUCUACCAACCGGUUUUUUAGGGUUGAGUUAGGCCCAACCAUAAUUCUUAACACUUCUUACUUCGGACUUCCUUCCCUUCUGGUGAUGCAGAACAGGUGUUGAAAAUCCGUUGCAGAAAGUCCAGAUUGAUGUAGAACAGAUUGUGAGUUGGAUGCAGAUGGUUGAAGACUUUGCAGAAUCGAAGCUUGAUGAGCCUGAUGAAGAUUGAGAUAGAGAUUCAGAGCUAUCAACUGGCUUCGUAGAACUUGAUGCAGAAGGCUUCUGGAGAUUGUGCAGAGCUUGGGAUUGUGCACUUUGAUGUUGAGGUUUGCAGAACUUUGAUGCAUUGUGAGAUCUUACGUAGAGAAUUGAGAAUUUGCUGAGCUUGGUAAAGAUUGCAAUCUGAACCUCGAUGCAAGAAGUAAUUAGGCUGAUGUGUUAUGAAAUUCUGAAGGAUGGCUUGCUUCUAUUGGAAAUGUGUAUCAUAGGCUAUGAUUGGUCUAAAGGUGUCAUGAAGAUUCAUGGGCAAAGACUUAACAAACAAGGCCUACUUGCAUAUGCAGCAAGUUUUGGAUGAGAAGUCACAUGAGCACGUGGAAGAGUGAAGAUACCAUAGGAAAUUAGGAUUGUCAAUGGUUGGUUUUCAUGUAAACUCUUUAAAAAACUGACAUUGUGUCAUAUGAAAAAGAAACAAACUUGGUCUUUUGAAGAAUACGGUGAUAUGAAGUAUGAAGUACAUGAAGAUGGUGGAUGAAGAUGAAUGUUAAUGCUUUAAGAAUCUAGAUUAGCACCUAGGUUACAUGUUAUUUUGUACUAGUUUGGAUUGUUCAUUAUGUAAAUAUGUACUAAAAAUGGAAAUUUUAUGAAAUUGUAUGGAAGGCUUUGAAAUGGUA